ACUCCUACGGGAGGCAGCAGUGAGGAAUAUUGGUCAAUGGACGCAAGUCUGAACCAGCCAUGCCGCGUGCAGGAUGACGGCCCUAUGGGUUGUAAACUGCUUUUCCACGGGAAGAACCCUCCGACGUGUCGGAGACUGACGGUACCGUGGGAAUAAGCAUCGGCUAACUCCGUGCCAGCAGCCGCGGUAAUACGGAGGAUGCAAGCGUUAUCCGGAUUUAUUGGGUUUAAAGGGUGCGUAGGUGGGCUUAUAAGUCAGCGGUGAAAUCCCCCGGCUCAACCAGGGAAUUGCCGUUGAUACUGUUAGCCUUGAGUACAGUUGAAGUGGGCGGAAUGUAGCGUGUAGCGGUGAAAUGCAUAGAUAUGCUACAGAACACCAAUAGCGAAGGCAGCUCACUAAGUUGUAACUGACACUAAUGCACGAAAGCGUGGGGAUCAAACAGGAUUAGAUACCCUGGUAGUC
Molecule: ribosomal RNA, 462 nt
Filed under: uncultured bacterium
Lineage: Bacteria
Description: bacterial SSU rRNA
Rfam family: Bacterial small subunit ribosomal RNA
Source: RNAcentral